RNAcentral lists this ribosomal RNA (403 nucleotides) under bacterium. Its description in RNAcentral is "partial 16S ribosomal RNA". It matches the Rfam family "Bacterial small subunit ribosomal RNA", at positions 355 to 776 of the family's 1533-position model. The record is from RNAcentral.
UGGGGAAUAUUGCACAAUGGAGGGAACUCUGAUGCAGCGACGCCGCGUGAACGAAGAAGGCUUUCGAGUCGUAAAGUUCUGUUAUAUGGGAAGAUAAUGACGGUACCAUAAGAAAAAGCCCCGGCUAACUACGUGCCAGCAGCCGCGGUAAUACGUAGGGGGCUAGCGUUGUCCGGAAUCACUGGGCGUAAAGGGUUCGCAGGCGGAAAUGCAAGUCAGGUGUAAAAGGCAGUAGCUUAACUACUGUAAGCAUUUGAAACUGCAUAUCUUGAGAAGAGUAGAGGUAAGUGGAAUUUUUAGUGUAGCGGUGAAAUGCGUAGAUAUUAAAAAGAAUACCGGUGGCGAAGACGGCUUACUGGGCUCAUUCUGACGCUGAGGAACGAAAGCGUGGGUAGCAAACAGG